This 154-nucleotide ribosomal RNA is filed under the name Erysiphe sp. 3D. Its description in RNAcentral is "5.8S ribosomal RNA". It matches the Rfam family "5.8S ribosomal RNA". From Rfam's summary of the family: 5.8S ribosomal RNA (5.8S rRNA) is a component of the large subunit of the eukaryotic ribosome. It is transcribed by RNA polymerase I as part of the 45S precursor that also contains 18S and 28S rRNA. The record is from RNAcentral. Lineage: Eukaryota; Fungi; Ascomycota; Leotiomycetes; Helotiales; Erysiphaceae.
AAACUUUCAACAACGGAUCUCUUGGCUCUGGCAUCGAUGAAGAACGCGGCGAAAUGCGAUAAGUAAUGUGAAUUGCAGAAUUUAGUGAAUCAUCGAAUCUUUGAACGCACAUUGCGCCCCUUGGUAUUCCGAGGGGCAUGCCUGUUCGAGCGUC